This is a long non-coding RNA of Homo sapiens (human), 625 nucleotides long. NCBI's taxonomy places the organism in Eukaryota, Metazoa, Chordata, Mammalia, Primates, Hominidae. The record is from Ensembl.
UUUUUUUUUUUGAGAUGGUCUCACUUUGUUACCCAGGCUGGAGUGCAAUGGCGCAAUCUUGGCUCACUGCAACCUCCGCCUCCCAGGUUCAAGUGAUUUUCUUGCCUUAGCAUCCCGAGUAGCUGGGAUUACAGGCGCUCGCCACCACGCCAGCUCAUUUUUGUACUCCUAGUAGAGAUGGGGUUUCACCAUGUUGGCCAGGCUGGCUAUAAAAGUCUACCAUCUAUGAACUCAAAUAUCCCACUUAAGGAAAUCUGUAACUGUUACUGUAGAUGUUUGUUCCUUAAAAAUACAUCUGUGCAAAGCAGAUUUUAAGUUAUCUAACAGUCCUGAACUUGAGCUGACCAAAACAAAUAAAACAGGGAUUUUUUUUCUUUUUUUUAAGUCAAUGAUACUAGACAACAGCAUUUUAUCCCUGGGAUCACUAGACACAGGGCCAGUACCAUUCUGCUGGCAAAUUAGGAACUUGGGGAUGAGAGUCAGUGGACAGGUCACUUCCAAUGAGACUAGAGCAGCAACACUGGACUAAAGACGGGAAUGAUUCCUGGAAGUUCAGCAACAUACCCUGAGAAGUAAGAACAACUGGAUCUUUGAGAGCUUGAAAAUACAUAUGGAGAACAUAAAA